CGAUAGCUCAGUCGGUAGAGCAAAGGACUGAAAAUCCUUGUGUCGGUGGUUCGAUUCCACUUC
Molecule: transfer RNA, 63 nt
Filed under: human gut metagenome
Rfam family: tRNA
About the family: Transfer RNA (tRNA) molecules are approximately 80 nucleotides in length. Their secondary structure includes four short double-helical elements and three loops (D, anti-codon, and T loops).
Source: RNAcentral